This 317-nucleotide long non-coding RNA is filed under the name Nicotiana benthamiana. RNAcentral's name for it is "long non-coding RNA (NBEN_LNC012177)". Lineage: Eukaryota; Viridiplantae; Streptophyta; Magnoliopsida; Solanales; Solanaceae. The record is from RNAcentral.
AGUCCAAGCUACAUUAUUGGCGCUGGCAGGGCUAAAACGCCUAGAUAUGACAGAAAAUGUCACUUCCAUUCUUCCUAUAGAGGAUAUGCUACCGGCAGUUGCUCAGGGAGCCAUUGGUAUUGCAUGCAGAAGUGAUGAUGAGACAAUGGUAUUCACAUCGUUUCUUCCAUAAAUAUAGUUGCUUCUAUUGCAGUUCUCUAUUCGAUGACGAGACAAUGGUAUUCACAUCGUUUCUUCCAUAAAUAUAGUUGCUUCUAUUGCAGUUCUCUAUUAUUCUUUAAUGAAAAACUUCAAUCACAGGCCAAUUACAUUGCCUU